This 382-nucleotide ribosomal RNA is filed under the name uncultured eukaryote. Its description in RNAcentral is "partial 18S ribosomal RNA". It matches the Rfam family "Eukaryotic small subunit ribosomal RNA", at positions 592 to 976 of the family's 1831-position model. The record is from RNAcentral.
UGUAAGCGCAUACCAAAGUUGUUGCAGUUAAAACGCUCGUAGUCGGAAUUUGGCAGUUCCGGAAGUGUGCACGUCGUGUGCGCACUUUGCGGGGACUGCUUUUGUGGUCUUGCGUAGGAUGAGGCACUUUCAUUAGUGAACGUCCUCACGCAACCACUCUUUACUGUGAGAAAAUCAGAGUGCUCAAAGCAGGCAUUUGCCGUGAAUGUAUUAGCAUGGAAUAAUAGAAUAGGACUCGGUUCUAUUUUGUUGGUUUGUUGGGACUGAGUAAUGAUUAAGAGGGACAGUUGGGGGCAUUUGUAUUCCGGCGCUAGAGGUGAAAUUCUUAGAUUGCCGGAAGACAAACUGCUGCGAAAGCGUCUGCCAAGGAUGUUUUCAUUGA